Molecule: long non-coding RNA, 513 nt
Filed under: Rattus norvegicus (Norway rat)
Lineage: Eukaryota; Metazoa; Chordata; Mammalia; Rodentia; Muridae
Description: long non-coding RNA NONRATT027259
Source: RNAcentral
UCUAGCGCAGUUUUUUUUCUUGUCUAUAAAGCAUUUAACCCCCCUGUACACAACUCACUCCUUUUAAAGAAAAAUAUUGAAAUGUAAGGCUGUGUAAGAUUUGUUUUUAAACUGUACAGUGUCUUUUUUUGUAUAGUUAACACACUACCGAAUGUGUCUUUAGCUAGCCCUGUCCUGGUGGUAUCUUCAGUAGCCACUAACCUUGCCUGGUACAGUCUGGGGGUUGUAAAUUGGCAUGGAUAUUAAAACAGGUUCUUGUUGGUGCACAGCACGAAUUAGUUAUAUAUGGGGACAGUAGUUUGGUUUUUGGUUUCUUUCUUUUUUUGUUUUUUGUUUUUGUUUUUUUUUUCUUUUGGUUUUUUUUUCCAUCUUCAGUUGUCUCUGAUGCAGCUUAUACGAAGGUAAUUUUUGUUCUGUUAACUGAAUACCACUCUGUAAUUGCAAAAAAAUGGUGGCUGUUUUGUUGACAUUCUGAAUGCUUCUAAGUAAAUACAAUUUUUUUUAUUAAAAAAA